RNAcentral lists this ribosomal RNA (529 nucleotides) under uncultured bacterium. RNAcentral describes it as "bacterial SSU rRNA". It matches the Rfam family "Bacterial small subunit ribosomal RNA", at positions 48 to 567 of the family's 1533-position model. The record is from RNAcentral.
UUAACACAUGCAAGUCGAGGGGCAGCAUCAUCAAAGCUUGCUUUGAUGGAUGGCGACCGGCGCACGGGUGAGUAACACGUAUCCAACCUGCCGACAACACUGGGAUAGCCUUUCGAAAGAAAGAUUAAUACCGGAUGGCAUAAUUAUUCCGCAUGGGAUAAUUAUUAAAGAAUUUCGGUUGUCGAUGGGGAUGCGUUCCAUUAGGCAGUUGGCGGGGUAACGGCCCACCAAACCUACGAUGGAUAGGGGUUCUGAGAGGAAGGUCCCCCACAUUGGAACUGAGACACGGUCCAAACUCCUACGGGAGGCAGCAGUGAGGAAUAUUGGUCAAUGGACGAGAGUCUGAACCAGCCAAGUAGCGUGAAGGAUGACUGCCCUAUGGGUUGUAAACUUCUUUUAUACGGGAAUAAAGUGAGCCACGUGUGGCUUUUUGUAUGUACCGUAUGAAUAAGGAUCGGCUAACUCCGUGCCAGCAGCCGCGGUAAUACGGAGGAUUCGAGCGUUAUCCGGAUUUAUUGGGUUUAAAGGG